GAGGAAUGUAUAGCAAUAGCUAGKUGCAUCAUUGUAGAUAUGAUGCAAGAUCGACUAUGUUGAAUAAAAUUCUAGGUAGAAUUAUGAUAAUGACAUUGUCUGCCUAUGUGUCUUGACCAAAUUACGUGCCAGCAGUCGCGGUAAUACGUAGAAGACUAGUGUUAUUCAUGUUUAAUCGGUUUAAAGGGUACCUAGACGGUAGAUCAAGCUUUCUAAUAAAGGAAAAGGACUAAUUUACUAGAGUUACUUAUGAGGGGGUAUUAAAGUACUGCUGGUGUAGAGAUGAAAUUCUGUCAUACCUCUUUUCAAAAGAAAAACCAUGGCACAGGUAUAGGCGAAGGCAUCCCCUUAUGUGAUAACUGACGUUGAGGGACGAAGGCUUUGUGUAGCGAACAGGAUUAGAUACCCCAGUAGUCGAAGCAGAAAAUGAUGAAUGUCAUAGAUUAGAUAUAUAAGUUUAUUCUAUAAAUGAAAGUGUAAGCAUUCCACCUCAUGAGUAAUUUGGCAACAUUGGAACUGAAAUCAUUAGACCGUUUCUGAAACCAG
This 546-nucleotide ribosomal RNA is filed under the name Xanthoparmelia lithophiloides. RNAcentral's name for it is "SSU rRNA". It matches the Rfam family "Bacterial small subunit ribosomal RNA", at positions 356 to 929 of the family's 1533-position model. The record is from RNAcentral. Lineage: Eukaryota; Fungi; Ascomycota; Lecanoromycetes; Lecanorales; Parmeliaceae.